RNAcentral lists this ribosomal RNA (253 nucleotides) under uncultured bacterium. RNAcentral's name for it is "partial 16S ribosomal RNA". It matches the Rfam family "Bacterial small subunit ribosomal RNA", at positions 524 to 776 of the family's 1533-position model. The record is from RNAcentral.
UACAGGGGGGGCAAGCGUUGUUCGGAAUUACUGGGCGUAAAGGGCUCGUAGGUGGCCAACUAAGUCAGACGUGAAAUCCCUCAGCUUAACUGGGGAACUGCGUCUGAUACUGGAUGGCUUGAGUUUGGGAGAGGGAUGCGGAAUUCCAGGUGUAGCGGUGAAAUGCGUAGAUAUCUAGAGGAACACCGGUGGCGAAGGCGGCAUCCUGGACCAACACUGACACUGAGGAGCGAAAGCCAGGGGAGCAAACGGG